AUUGAACGCUGGCGGCAAGCCUCAUACAUGCAAGUCGAACGAGAAAGCAUCUUCGGAUGUGAGUAAAGUGGCGGACGGGUGAGUAAUACAUAGGAAUCUACCCAAUGGCGGGGGACAGCUCGAGGAAACUCGAAUUAAUACCGCAUAAUCUCUACGGAGUAAAGAGGGCUUCGGCUCUCACCAUCGGAUGAGCCUAUGCAAGAUUAGCUUGUUGGUAAGGUAAUGGCUUACCAAGGCUACGAUCUUUAGCUGGUUUGAGAGGAUGACCAGCCACAUCGGGACUGAGACACGGCCCGGACUUCUACGGAAGGCAGCAGUAGGGAAUAUUGGACAAUGAGCGAAAGCUUGAUCCAGCUAUGCCGCGUGUGCGAUGACGGCCCUCGGGUUGUAAAGCACUUUAGGUAACGAGGAAAAGUUAAGUGUUAAUACCACUUAACCAUGACGUUAAUUACAGAAUAAGCACCGGCUAAAUCCGUGCCAGCCGCCGCCGUAACAC
This 496-nucleotide ribosomal RNA is filed under the name uncultured bacterium. Its description in RNAcentral is "bacterial SSU rRNA". It matches the Rfam family "Bacterial small subunit ribosomal RNA", at positions 30 to 526 of the family's 1533-position model. The record is from RNAcentral.